Molecule: long non-coding RNA, 1057 nt
Organism: Felis catus (domestic cat)
Lineage: Eukaryota; Metazoa; Chordata; Mammalia; Carnivora; Felidae
Exons: 4
Source: RefSeq, a predicted model, not a curated record
AGCACGGCUGCCAUCCAUGUCAGUUGUGAGCCUCUGCGCCGUCUUCCUGGCGUCUGGAGGCCGGGCAUGUGGCCCAUUUCAGUGUGUCGCGACCUGAUCGGCACCUGCACCACAGCGCCAAGCAGGUGGCUUUCGCCUUCGCUGGCACGUCCCACAAAACGUAGAAGCCGCCCCUGAUCCUGCCACAGGAGAUGACAGAAGAAGACUUUUUUCCAGAAAGAUGAUUGCAAAAAUGAAAAGCAAAACAACAAAGAAGCAAACCAAAAAUCAAACAAAAGAUCCACCAAGAAGAACACCAAAGAUGCCCACCCACAUCCUUGGGUAGCCAUGCAUAACCUCUGUCCCUGGGAGAGACCUGUAGCCCUAGAAGAUCACCCGGAAGGCGUGAUCCCUUGCACACAAUGAAGCCAGCUCCGGAAGGCGUGAUCCCUUGCACACAAUGAAGCCAGCUCCGCCUGCCAAAGAGAUGUCAGGAACGACAGCUGAAAAGAACGUUUCCGUUUCGGGCCGGGGGCACUGCCGUAUAGCAGUGCCUUGCAGAGAAGAACGUACCAGCUGCCAGAUGUGCUCCACGUAUGCUAGCUGCCCUCAGUCUCUCUGGGUCAGGGAGAAGGCCCAUCCAAGGGGGUAGACACAGGCUGCAGAGCUGGGAAGACAGAGAUCUCUUUGCCGCCUUCAGGGCAGAGUUUAGGAAUUACAGAUGCUCAAGGAAGAAUGAAGCAGGCUUGACGAAGCCUGGGGAGAUGCCUAGGGCUGGGCUGAGGGGUCCUCAGGAAGGAUCUCUUUCCAAGGAUCCUGACAGCAAUGCCCUGGAAUUAUUCUUCCCCAAGACCUGGGUCAAGAAACUUACCAGACAUUCUUAAAGAACUGAUAGCUCAGUGUGGUCCUCAAGAGAGGUUUGCAGACCUGUCCUGGGAGUGCGUGUGAACCGGUGGGUAAUGAAGCGCCUUCGCUGCUCGGGGCCACAGGGCCUUGGGGCGCUAGGAGCCAAGUAGGGCUUCCCCUGUGUAUCCUGCCACCAUGCCGGGCAGUCUGGGAAACGGAGAUAAGAACGCUU